UUCUGAAUGUUGACCUCGGAUCAGGUAGGAAUACCCGCUGAACUUAAGCAUAUCAAUAAGCGGAGG
RNAcentral lists this ribosomal RNA (66 nucleotides) under Fusarium sp. SC-S-1. Its description in RNAcentral is "partial 28S ribosomal RNA". The stretch from base 11 to 66 matches the Rfam family "Eukaryotic large subunit ribosomal RNA", at positions 1 to 56 of the family's 3401-position model. Lineage: Eukaryota; Fungi; Ascomycota; Sordariomycetes; Hypocreales; Nectriaceae. The record is from RNAcentral.